This 894-nucleotide ribosomal RNA is filed under the name uncultured Leptolyngbya sp. Its description in RNAcentral is "bacterial SSU rRNA". It matches the Rfam family "Bacterial small subunit ribosomal RNA", at positions 505 to 1398 of the family's 1533-position model. The record is from RNAcentral. Lineage: Bacteria; Bacillati; Cyanobacteriota; Cyanophyceae; Leptolyngbyales; Leptolyngbyaceae.
CUGCCAGCAGCCGCGGUAAUACGAGGGAUGCAAGCGUUAUCCGGAAUUAUUGGGCGUAAAGCGUUCGUAGGUGGCUAAGUUAGUCUGUCGUUAAAGCGUGGAGCUUAACUCCAUAACGGCGAUGGAAAACUGCUUGGCUAGAGUAUGGUAGGGGUAAGAGGAAUUCCCAGUGUAGCGGUGAAAUGCGUAGAUAUUGGGAAGAACACCAGCGGCGAAAGCGUCUUACUGGGCCAUUACUGACACUGAGGGACGAAAGCUAGGGGAGCGAAAGGGAUUAGAUACCCCUGUAGUCCUAGCCGUAAACGAUGAGAACUAGGUGUUGCGCGUAUCGACCCGCGCGGUGCCGUAGCCAACGCGUUAAGUUCUCCGCCUGGGGAGUACGCACGCAAGUGUGAAACUCAAAGGAAUUGACGGGGGCCCGCACAAGCGGUGGAGUAUGUGGUUUAAUUCGAUGCAACGCGAAGAACCUUACCAAGGCUUGACAUCCCUGGAAUCUUUUGGAAACAGAAGAGUGCCUUCGGGAACCAGGAGACAGGUGGUGCAUGGCUGUCGUCAGCUCGUGUCGUGAGAUGUUGGGUUAAGUCCCGCAACGAGCGCAACCCACGUUUUUAGUUGCCAUCAUUAAGUUGGGCACUCUAGAGAGACUGCCGGUGACAAACCGGAGGAAGGUGUGGAUGACGUCAAGUCAGCAUGCCCCUUACGUCUUGGGCUACACACGUACUACAAUGCUACGGACAAAGGGCAGCCAAUCAGCAAUGACGCGCAAAUCCCAUAAACCGUAGCUCAGUUCAGAUCGUAGGCUGCAACUCGCCUACGUGAAGGCGGAAUCGCUAGUAAUCGCAGGUCAGCAUACUGCGGUGAAUACGUUCCCGGGCCUUGUACACACCGCCCGUC